ACUCCUACGGGAGGCAGCAGUAGGGAAUAUUGGUCAAUGGGCGAGAGCCUGAACCAGCCAUGCCGCGUGCAGGAAGACGGCCUUCUGGGUUGUAAACUGCUUUUAUCAGGGAACAAAAGGCCAUGCGUGGCAAAUUGCGUGUACCUGAAGAAUAAGGACCGGCUAACUCCGUGCCAGCAGCCGCGGUAAUACGGAGGGUCCAAGCGUUGUCCGGAUUUAUUGGGUUUAAAGGGUGCGUAGGCGGCCCCUAUAAGUCAGUGGUGAAAUCCUUCAGCUCAACUGGAGAACUGCCAUUGAUACUGUAGGGCUUGAGUACAGACGAGGUAGGCGGAAUUUAUGGUGUAGCGGUGAAAUGCAUAGAUACCAUAAAGAACACCUAUUGCGAAGGCGGCCCCUGCA
Molecule: ribosomal RNA, 399 nt
Filed under: uncultured bacterium
Lineage: Bacteria
Description: bacterial SSU rRNA
Rfam family: Bacterial small subunit ribosomal RNA
Source: RNAcentral